AAAAAGCGGAGGAAAAGAAACCAACUGGGAUUACCUUAGUAACGGCGAGUGAAGCGGUAAAAGCUCAAAUUUGAAAUCUGGUACUUUCAGUGCCCGAGUUGUAAUUUGUAGAAUUUGUCUUUGAUUAGGUCCUUGUCUAUGUUCCUUGGAACAGGACGUCAUAGAGGGUGAGAAUCCCGUUUGGCGAGGAUACCUUUUCUCUGUAAGACUUUUUCGAAGAGUCGAGUUGUUUGGGAAUGCAGCUCAAAGUGGGUGGUAAAUUCCAUCUAAAGCUAAAUAUUGGCGAGAGACCGAUAGCGAACAAGUACAGUGAUGGAAAGAUGAAAAGAACUUUGAAAAGAGAGUGAAAAAGUACGUGAAAUUGUUGAAAGGGAAGGGCAUUUGAUCAGACAUGGUGUUUUUUGCAUGCACUCGCCUCUCGUGGGCUUGGGCCUCUCAAAAAUUUCACUGGGCCAACAUCAAUUCUGGCAGCAGGAUAAAUCAUUAAGAAUGUAGCUACUUCGGUAGUGUUAUAGCUUUUUGGAAUACUGUUAGCCGGGAUUGAGGACUGCGCUUCGGCAAGGAUGUUGGCAUAAUGGUUAAAUGCCGCCCGUCUUGAAAC
RNAcentral lists this ribosomal RNA (601 nucleotides) under Hanseniaspora clermontiae. RNAcentral describes it as "eukaryotic LSU rRNA". It matches the Rfam family "Eukaryotic large subunit ribosomal RNA", at positions 45 to 660 of the family's 3401-position model. Lineage: Eukaryota; Fungi; Ascomycota; Saccharomycetes; Saccharomycodales; Saccharomycodaceae. The record is from RNAcentral.